CAAUAGCGUAUAUUAAAGUUGUUGCGGUAAAAAAGCUCGUAGUUGGAUUUCUGUUGAGAGCGACCGGUCCAUACCAUGUAUGCGUAUCUGGCUUGCUCUCGGCAUCCUCUCGAUAGACGUUACUGCGCUUGAUUGCGUGGUGCGGAUCUCGGGACUUUUACUUUGAGGAAAUUAGAGUGUUCACGGCAGGCUUUCGCCAGAAUACAUUAGCAUGGAAUAAUACUAUAGGAUCUUGGUUCUAUUUUGUUGGUUUCUAGAAUUGAGAUAAUGAUUAAUAGGGACAAUUGGGGGCAUUCGUAUCAACACGUCAGAGGUGGAAUUCUUGGGUUGUGUUGCGACGAACUACUGCGAAAGCAUUUGCCAAGGAUGUUUUCAUUGA
RNAcentral lists this ribosomal RNA (379 nucleotides) under uncultured eukaryote. RNAcentral's name for it is "partial 18S ribosomal RNA". It matches the Rfam family "Eukaryotic small subunit ribosomal RNA", at positions 592 to 976 of the family's 1831-position model. The record is from RNAcentral.